Clupea harengus (Atlantic herring) is the source of this 726-nucleotide long non-coding RNA. Lineage: Eukaryota; Metazoa; Chordata; Actinopteri; Clupeiformes; Clupeidae. The record is from Ensembl.
GUGUGUGACUUUAUAAAACUGUAACAGGACGCUACGGAGCGUGAACCUCCACAAGAUGUGGAAAAACAUGCGAGGUGUCAUGCCAGUGAACCUAGCGAUGAACUAUCCUAGCUAUCUAUAGCUUAGGGAACCAUCUUGCAGUCGCUAGUGUGUGUUAAACCACUUAAGGUUAUUUAACUAUCCUAGCUAUCUGUAACUUAGGGAACCAUCUUGCAGUCGCUAGUGUGUGUUAAACCACUUAAGGUUAUUUAACUAUCCUAGCUAUCUCUAGCUCAGGGAACCAUCUUGCAGUCGCUAGUGUUUGUUAAACCACUUAAGGUUAUUUAAUAGUUUCCUUAGCUAGCUAGCCAAUUAGCUUGCAUAGCAACUAGGCACCAAAGUAAAAUUUCUCAAAAUCAGUUGAGAAAGAGAAAAUCUAAAAUACAGUCUUCAAAGGGACCACUUGAGGAUGAUGUUAAAUGGCUUCACAUAGACAUUAAACAAUCCUGCGUGAAAUAAUGGGACAUCAGUGGAGCAAGGGCUUACUCUGAUACCAAUGUAGUGAAAUAUCAGUGGAGUAAGGGCUUACUCUGAUACCAAUGUAGUGAAAUAUCAGUGGAGCAAGGGCUUACUCUGAUACCAAUGUAGUGAAAUAUCAGUGGAGUAAGGGCUUACUCUGAUACCAAUGUAGUGAAAUAUCAGUGGAGUAAGGGCUUACUCUGAUACCAAUGUAGUGACUGAAUGGGG